This 300-nucleotide ribosomal RNA is filed under the name uncultured Bacillus sp. Its description in RNAcentral is "bacterial SSU rRNA". It matches the Rfam family "Bacterial small subunit ribosomal RNA", at positions 496 to 795 of the family's 1533-position model. The record is from RNAcentral. Lineage: Bacteria; Bacillati; Bacillota; Bacilli; Caryophanales; Bacillaceae.
GCUAACUACGUGCCAGCAGCCGCGGUAAUACGUAGGUGGCAAGCGUUGUCCGGAUUUAUUGGGCGUAAAGCGCGCGCAGGCGGUCCUUUAAGUCUGAUGUGAAAUCUUGCGGCUCAACCGCAAGCGGUCAUUGGAAACUGGGGGACUUGAGUGCAGAAGAGGAAAGCGGAAUUCCACGUGUAGCGGUGAAAUGCGUAGAGAUGUGGAGGAACACCAGUGGCGAAGGCGGCUUUCUGGUCUGUAACUGACGCUGAGGCGCGAAAGCGUGGGGAGCAAACAGGAUUAGAUACCCUGGUAGUC